CAGUCGCCGCGGGAAUACGUAGGUCCCGAGCGUUGUCCGGAUUUAUUGGGCGUAAAGCGAGCGCAGGCGGUUAGAUAAGUCUGAAGUUAAAGGCUGUGGCUUAACCAUAGUACGCUUUGGAAACUGUUUAACUUGAGUGCAAGAGGGGAGAGUGGAAUUCCAUGUGUAGCGGUGAAAUGCGUAGAUAUAUGGAGGAACACCGGUGGCAAAAGCGGCUCUCUGGCUUGUAACUGACGCUGAGGCUCGAAAGCGUGGGGAGCAAACAGGAUUAGAUACCCGUGUAGUCCCUGUCUCUUAUACA
This 301-nucleotide ribosomal RNA is filed under the name uncultured bacterium. RNAcentral's name for it is "partial 16S ribosomal RNA". It matches the Rfam family "Bacterial small subunit ribosomal RNA", at positions 509 to 808 of the family's 1533-position model. The record is from RNAcentral.